UAUUACGUUUUGACAGUUUAUGAUAACAAAAUGUUAAAAUGUGACGUGAUGACGCCAGACGUCAAAGACCAGAGAUUAUAUAUACAUGGAUGUAACCAGUAGGCGGGACCAUUCUGUAGAACGUCGGAGAGAGGAGGCUGUGAAACAGGAUGGUCACCCAGCUGGGUAAAUUGUCCAUGCUUGUCUUAUGAUAUUAAUAAAUGCUUUGUUAAACAAACAUAUUGUUCAAAAUAUUGCUGAGAAGAGGAUAUUUAUGAGGCAUCAUAGGGCAGCUUCCCAGACCUGCUGAGGAAAAGAAAAGCCUGUGCUGAACUUCCAACAGUGGACAAUGUGAACACUAUAGUCUUCAAUUCAUCUUGAGUCUUGACUAUCCAGAACAAAGGCAUUACAAUGAAUGGAACUAGAUUAAAAAUCAGCAUAACCAACACUAAACAGAUGAUCCUGACAGCUCUCUUCUUCUGAUGGUUCCCCUCAUUCUCACAAGCCUCUUUUUUUCCUGGGCUGGGCCUUCUGAGGAUCCUGACAAUAGACAGACUGCAGAAGUCGGUCUGCAGGUGUACGACAAUCCAGAAUCUACAAAUCAGCAGAAAGAAUGACAAUGAAGAUCUUUAUGUUGAUAUAUUUGUGAAUAACCUUCAAUUUCUCUUUGCUUACAUAGAACAACCAGCCAAACAGCAGCAAGACAGGCCCCCCUAUACUUUAUCUGCUUGUAUCUGAAGAAGAAGAAGAAGAAGAAGAAGAAGAAGAAGAAGAAGAAGAAGAAGAAGAAGAAGAAGAAGAAGAAGAAGAAGAAGUGUGUAUUUCAGUGUGAGGGUCAGUUUGUCUUAUAUCUUAUAUAUAGUGUUACAUGAGUACUGGUCUGUCUUUAAACUUCAGGUACCUGAUGAACAGCACAGGGUGCACGACUGCCAGGUAGCGGUCCACACAGAUCUGGCACGGGAACAAGGCUCGACCCACCACAGCCAUAGCAUUGUAAAAGUGUAUCAGAGGGACAAUAGAAACUUCUUUGCAAAAUAUUUGGAUCAGCGAAAGCAAAAAACACAUUGAACACAACAUUUCUAUGAUUAGCAGGUUCAGUGUUAAAAGUUCAGAGUGUACGAGGCUGCGCCUCCCAGAGACGAUCAGCCACAGAGCCCAGCCGUUGACUGGGACGCUGAUCAUGUGGUCGACUAAACCAGUGAAAACAUAAAUGUACAUUUCAGGGGAAAGAUACACCGCGGAUUCAUUGGCCAUUUAUCCUUCUUUUUCUGGAGACCAAUUACCUAAAAUAAAGAAACAGAGGACUCUUAUAUUGAAGAAAAUAAACACAGUUGUAAUUUUUGUGUAUAUAUUAUUGUUAUUAUUGUUAUGUCCUUAGAUUUUGAAAUGUGUAUGUCAUGAGUUUGUGACAAUGGCUAUGCUAAAAGUAAAAAAAAAAGGUUUUUGUUAUUAUAUUAUAAAUAUUAUAUUAAGAUAUAGUUAAUACUUUGAUAAAUGAUUAAUAAAUACUUUGUAAAGCAUCUAUAAACAUUAUUUAGAUAGAUUUGUUAAUGUAAGUGGUUUCUGGUCCAUCUAUCUAUGUAAUGUUUUACAAAUCAUUUGCUAACCUUUAAGAAAUACUUAAUAGUUUAUAAAAUGUUAUGUGUGCAACAACAAUAUAGCAUUACUAAUAAGUAAACAUUAUUAACUGUUAUUUCAUUAUGUAUUAACAUUAAAGUAACUAUUAACCAGAGUUGAAUUAAUUGUUUAAUGGUAAUUAUAUUUUUAUAAUAUAUAUUUUAAGUUUUUCAUAUAUUUCACCAAAGGUUUUGUGCAGUUCACAUUCUGCAUCCUGAAUAAUAACAAUAUUAACAGUAAUAAUGAUAAAACUGUACAUCUAAUAUUAAUCAUUGCUUAUAGCUGCAUUUUAAACAGCACUUACCAGCUGGAGUGUCUGUCCCGAGUCCAGCUUCAGCACCUGCUUCUGUUCAAACAUGGAAGUAAUUCCAUCCACGACACUUUGCAUGUCUUUUAUUUGACUAAUGGCUCACUUGUCAUCACUACACAUUAUGAACACUUCUGAUGUAGCGCUUAACAAAACAUGAACAAAGAAAGAAACUCAAUUCUCAAAAGAGAAAUCAUGACACGCAUCAUCUGAAUCAUACCCCAGGCUGUGAGGAUGCUGAACUCUCCCCCUGCCCCCUAAUGGACCUGGAUUGAAGAUUGUUAUUUUUAUAUAUUUAUUGUUGUACCUCCUUUUUGUAUACCUCUUUUAUGUGUGUAUAUGUACAUAUGUGAGUAUGAGUAUGUACAUGUAUAUAUUUUUAUUUUUUCUGGGACUGAGAAAUGGCAUUUUGAUCUCACUGUUUGUAUCACACACAGAGAAAUUGACAAUAAAAUUGACUUUGAACAUCGA
Molecule: long non-coding RNA, 2374 nt
Organism: Cottoperca gobio
Lineage: Eukaryota; Metazoa; Chordata; Actinopteri; Perciformes; Bovichtidae
Exons: 2
Source: RefSeq, a predicted model, not a curated record